GUAACAUUAGUAUAAGUUGAUUAUUUCUGGUUUUCGGUUAGAAGAUUUUAUGUUAUU
RNAcentral lists this transfer RNA (57 nucleotides) under Tetrameres grusi. RNAcentral describes it as "tRNA-Glu". The record is from RNAcentral. Lineage: Eukaryota; Metazoa; Nematoda; Chromadorea; Rhabditida; Tetrameridae.